Molecule: ribosomal RNA, 460 nt
Filed under: Anceyoconcha rhombostoma
Lineage: Eukaryota; Metazoa; Mollusca; Gastropoda; Stylommatophora; Camaenidae
Description: partial large subunit ribosomal RNA
Source: RNAcentral
CCUUUUGCAUAAUGGUUAAAUAAUAAUAUAAAAAUUUUAAUUUCACGAAAUAAAAUGAGCUAUUUUAUUUCUGUAUAUGAUUGUAAUAUAAUUCAUAAUAGAAAACAAAAAUAGGAGUGAAAGGCCUUUCAAAUUUUAAGAUAUCUUGAUGCUUAAUAAAAGUAUUUAGUACAAAGUUAAACUAUAAAUGAUAAGGUUUAUAGUGAAGAUUAAAUUAUUAAAUAAUUUUCUAAGGUUUAAUUACCUCAGAGUUUUAUUAUAAAUAAGUUUAUAAUUAAUUAUCAAAUACACUGAGCACUCCAGUAACAAUAAGAGGAUUUAUAAUGUUUAAAUUUAAAUAAGUAUUAAAAAAGUAAAAAUAAAGGACUUGGCAAAUUUUUUUUUCGACUGUUUACCAAAAACAUAGCCAAAUGGCAUUUACAUUUGGUGAUUUCUGCUCAAUGAAAUUUAAAUAGCCGCA